Molecule: long non-coding RNA, 1121 nt
Organism: Ostrinia nubilalis (European corn borer)
Lineage: Eukaryota; Metazoa; Arthropoda; Insecta; Lepidoptera; Crambidae
Exons: 4
Source: RefSeq, a predicted model, not a curated record
UUAGAAAUUCACACACACGAAGAAAUCAAAAUAUGUGCUCAUUAUCCACUGCGGUAUCAGUACUCAACGUUCGAAUAAUCUUUAGUACUACGCAAGCAAUGUAAACUGUUUACAUUAUGACGUCGCUGCUGUCAUCAUUGCUUUCACGACUUGGACGAAUAAACCACUGGACGCGUAACGAGUGACGUUUUCGUCUUUACCCCGCUAGCACUUACCAAGGCUAAAUUAGCCAUGGUAAAUGUUGUCAGGUUGUCACUUUGUCAGUAUGACGCGAGCUCUCGAAGAGUAAAAAUAUCACGAAAAAUGGGUAAAUGCGCCGUACUUUAUUGCAAAAAUUAUUCCGGUCACACAAGAAAUGUUUCUUAUCACGCAUUUCCAGUGGAUCCAAAUAGAAGGAGAAAGUGGAUAGAGGCAGUCAGAAGACAAAAUACGUGGAUUCUAACUAAAAACCACUGCAUUUGUAGCAUUCAUUUUGCGGAAGAAUGCUACAAUGCCAAUUCUACGAAACAGAGAAAACUGCACAAAGAUUCUUUACCUACAUUGAAUUUGCCUAAAUUUUCACAUGAAACAAAAGAUGAUGAGAUCGACAUAGAUGGAACAUACAAAACAAGCACACCAGUAAAUGUUUUAUUUUCGGUAUGCAAUACCGAGGUGGAACCUUUUAGAUCUGUGUCAUCCGUCACGUUUAGUGAAAUACCGGGGUGGUUGGAACUUGAUUUGGUCCAUCCUGUCAUCAACUGUUUUUCAAUGGGACGACUUCUGAACAUCAGAGAGAUCUUGACUGUCAAGAUACGUGAAUUAGGCCACUGAACUUUUCAAAACAAAACCAACACAGGUGAAAUAUCUGAGCAUCUCCCUUGACAACAAAUUGAACUGGGCGAGUCAUAUCGACAACAUGCAUAGUGCCUAGCAAACAUAGCGGCCACGGGUUGUAUGAGAACCACUCUAUCGGCAUCACUUGACUUCUUUCUGAAUCUCAGACAUUUAGACCUCAUUAUUCAGGAGGAAGCACAAGCACCCACUCUAAGACUUGAAGGAAACGAUAUAUGAAAGCAAAACAAGGAGACAGGAUAUUCCGCGAUUCUGCACAAAACCCUAAAAGAAAUACCCCUCAUCAACAG